UGGUGGAGUGAUUUGUCUGGUUAAUUCCGUUAACGAACGAGACCUUAACCUAUUAAAUAGUAACACGAACUUGAAUCAUGCGUCGCGUCUCCGUUUCGGCGGGAUGCGUCCUCCAUGGUUCUACCGUUCAGUGAAUACUUCUUAGAGGGACUCAUUGCAUAUCUAGCAAUUGGAAGUUUGAGGCAAAAACAA
Molecule: ribosomal RNA, 192 nt
Filed under: uncultured eukaryote
Lineage: Eukaryota
Description: partial 18S ribosomal RNA
Rfam family: Eukaryotic small subunit ribosomal RNA
Source: RNAcentral